AUUUUUAUAGCCACCAGUACUCCCAUGGAAUAUCCAUAAGACUAAUGCUCCCUUUUUUAAACUGUUUCUGUGAGCAACCACAAGUGGUUUUCUUUGGUCCCCUUUCAUAACCAACUGCCACACGAUGGCUGCACCUGCCAAUGGUUUUGCUCAAUUCCUCUAUAAAAACCCCUGGCUAGCUAGCUUCUGGCUCAUUCUCAUAUUGAACAAAAGCAAAAGCGCUUUAGAAGAAGAAGAAGAGAAUUGAGUAUAGGUUCAUCUGAGCAAAAAUGUCUGCAGUAGUGGAGAUAUGGGUGACUGAGCUAGCUAAGCUUAAAGAGAAGGUCAGACAAAGGAAGCCAUUAAUAAGCUUGUCAAAAGCCAAAGGAGCAGUAGUAGCUGAAGAGGAUAAGGAAGCUGGGAAAGAGAGCAAAGUGUUUAAGAGAGAAACUAAUAUUUCCGAGUCCACAGUUUUCAUGCUUAUGGACAGGUUUGCUCCUUCUUGAUAAACACAUCAAACCCUAUUAUGUAAAUAAAUUAGUGCCCAUGUAUUGUAUAUGUUUAUCAAUGCAAAAUGUUUUGUUUUAUGUUUUUUUUUCUGACUAAAAUGUUUAACCCACAAAAUUAUAUUGCAAUCGCAUUCAUGGAGAUGGAUCAAAAUGGAAUGAAUUUGGUAAAUUUGGAAAUGGGUUUCCUUCUUAGAACUAGCACCAGAAGGAUUCUGGAGAAAUUUAACAGUGGCAAUAAAUAAGAAGGACUACAGAUUGCAGUUUUCCUUUCACAGUUUUGCUUGUCAAUGAAUUUUACAAGUUCCUAUAUUUUAAACAAGUAAAUUAAUUAAAAAAAUUCAAUUUUGUAAAAAUUACUAAUUAAAUAUAUGAAGUUAAAUAGCUUUACAUAUAGCAUGAAAUUUUGUUUGACCAAUGGAAUGGCCGUUUGCCCCAAGGCCGGUUUUGCUAAUCAGGCAAUUAAUAAUUUUUUUUCAAGUCGUUUGCUUAUUCAAUAAGAACCUGCUGUGGUCUUCAAUUGCCAAUUUCCACAGCAUUCAGUCUUUCUUUCAAAUAUAUUUACUUUCAGGUCUUUCCUUGAAUUUUUUUUUUUUUUUUUAUCGAACUCUUUCCUUGAAUUGCAUAUGUAUAAACAAUCAAGUUUCAAUUUCCCAUUUGUCCAGACUCAAGACAGAGAAAAGCAGCAAUAAAUAUUGUACAACAUAAUGUUACAUCCUUUUUGUAAAAUAUACCUUUUCUUUCCCUCAAUUUUUUCUCUUCUUUAUUUAGAUGAACAAUCUUUGACUUAGCAUAGACUUUAACUUCAAUUGGACAGAAGAAAAUACAAGUGAAACUGGAAAUUAAUGUUGUCAAGCAGGCUGAUCAGGUUCAGUGCCCGAGAAACCACUGCCAACUAGAAGAGGACUGUAAAGUCCAUGCUCAAGUUCCAUACCCACAUUUUUCCCAGUAACUCGCUCAAGAGGAGCACUUGGCAAAGACAAGAUGGCACGAACUAGCUUUCCUACUCUUGUCUGCAACAAACCAUCACCAAGAUUAAUUGAUGUAGGAAAUGAACAUGAAGAUGGUAACUAAAAUUAAUAGGCCUGCUAUUUUACAUAAUAUAAUAUAGAUAAUACCUUUAUCCAUAUAUUUUCCUUUAUAGCACUUGAUCCCUCUUCCUGAUAGGACCCAUCUGCAUUAACCCAAAGGUGAGUUUCUCCUUCACAUUUCACUCCUGCUAACUGCAAAACACAAAUCAAUGGAAUGGCUUCUUAUCUUUUGUAGGUGUUUGAUGAAAUUCAACAUCCAAAACUAAAAAGAAAAAAAUUAAUUGAGUUGAAUUCAUUAUAUCCAGAAUAAGAUACCAGCAGCAUCAGGAGCUCCACUUUAGUGAUCUCACGAUUAUUUACCAACACGUUUGUGUUUCCAUUGCUUGCAUUUGUUUGCAGAUGCCCCCCAACAGCUAAACUGGGACUGAUUAUUUGGCAAGGUUUCUUUCCUUCCUGUUCAGCCAAACAAUAUGAGUGAAUCCACUACAGAGUUGAAAGAGAAAAAGAAGCAAACAGCUAGAGUUCAAUAAUA
This 2048-nucleotide long non-coding RNA is filed under the name Manihot esculenta (cassava). RNAcentral's name for it is "long non-coding RNA (MESC_LNC010455)". Lineage: Eukaryota; Viridiplantae; Streptophyta; Magnoliopsida; Malpighiales; Euphorbiaceae. The record is from RNAcentral.